GGACACGCUCAGGAUGGUCCCUUUGCUUUCAUUAAGAGUUCCAAGAUGAGGGUCUGAUUGACUGGGGUGUGAAAUGUAACAGUCAAUGGUGUACUUAAGCUAAGACUGUCAGUCCCAAUAUUCAAGAGUGAUGCAUUCUCAAGAAGGAGGAGAUUAAUGAACCCUCCCCUCUUACAAUGAACAACACAUGGACACUCUCAGGAUGGUCCCUUUGCUUUCAUUAAGAGUUCCAAGAUGAGGGUCUGAUUGACUGGGGUGUGAAAUGUAACAGCCAAUGGUGUACUUAAGCUAAGACUGUCAGUCCCAAUAUUCAAGAGUGAUGCAUUCUCAAGAAGGAGGAGAUUAAUGAACCCUCCCCUCUUACAAUGAACAACACAUGGACACGCUCAGGAU
Molecule: long non-coding RNA, 393 nt
Organism: Saccostrea cuccullata (small rock oyster)
Lineage: Eukaryota; Metazoa; Mollusca; Bivalvia; Ostreida; Ostreidae
Exons: 5
Source: RefSeq, a predicted model, not a curated record